Molecule: non-coding RNA, 89 nt
Organism: Coprinopsis marcescibilis
Lineage: Eukaryota; Fungi; Basidiomycota; Agaricomycetes; Agaricales; Psathyrellaceae
Source: the annotation of a GenBank genome assembly
GCCAAUGUAGCACAAUGGUAGUGCGUUGCUUUCCUACCUUCGUUUGAAGGUUCAGGCAGAGGCUGUGGGUUCGAGUCCCAUCAUUGGUU